This 479-nucleotide ribosomal RNA is filed under the name uncultured archaeon. RNAcentral describes it as "bacterial SSU rRNA". It matches the Rfam family "Archaeal small subunit ribosomal RNA", at positions 326 to 807 of the family's 1478-position model. The record is from RNAcentral.
CGGGGUGCAGCAGGCGCGAAACCUCCACAAUUCACGCAAGUGAGAUGGGGUUACCUCGAGUGCUAUCUGAAGAAGGUGGCUUUUCCAUGGUGUAAUGAGCCGUGGGAAUAAGGGGGGGGCAAGACUGGUGUCAGCCGCCGCGGUAACACCAGCCCCCCGAGUGGUGGGGAUGAUUAUUUGGCCUAAAGCGUCCGUAGCCAGCUCGGUAAAUCUCUCGUUAAAUCCAGCGUCCUAAGCGUUGGGCUGCGAGGGAAACUGCCGAACUAGAGGGUGGGAGAGGUCAGCGGUAUUCCUGGGGUAGGGGCGAAAUCCAUUGAUCCCAGGAGGACCACCAGUGGCGAAGGCUGCUGACUAGAACACGCCUGACGGUGAGGGACGAAAGCUGGGGUAGCGAAUCGGAUUAGAUACCCGAGUAGUCCCAGCCGUAAACGAUGCAGGCUAGGUGUUGGGUCGGCCAUGCGCCGCCUCAGUGCCACAGG